This 622-nucleotide ribosomal RNA is filed under the name Mortierella sp. UFMGCB 3746. RNAcentral's name for it is "eukaryotic LSU rRNA". The stretch from base 156 to 312 matches the Rfam family "5.8S ribosomal RNA". The record is from RNAcentral. Lineage: Eukaryota; Fungi; Mortierellomycota; Mortierellomycetes; Mortierellales; Mortierellaceae.
AAUCCAUAUCCACCUGUGUGCAUGUCAUCUCACUGGAGGCCAGCGGCUGUACAGAACGCCCGUUUGGUCACCUUUGGGAUUUCAUAUCUACUCAGAACUUUAGAUGGAUUUUGUCUCGAAAAAUAUUAUCGAAUAACUUAAUAUCAAGACAUACAAGCUUUCAACAAACAGGAUCUCUUGGCUCUCGCAUCGAUGAAGAACGCAGCGAAAUGCGAUACGUAAUUGUGAAUUGCCGAAUUCAGUGAAUCAUCGAAUCUUUGAACGCAUAUUGCGCUCUCUGGUAUUCCGGAGAGCAUGCUUGUUUGAGGUAUCAGUAAACAACUCAACUCCCUUUUCUUUUUUUGAAAUGGGAGCUGGACUUGAGUGAUCCCAACACUUUUCUCACUGGAAAGUGGCGGGUCACUUGAAAUGCAGGUGCAGCUGGACUUUUCUCUGAGCUAUAAGCAUAUCUAUUUAGUCUAGCCUAAAAAACAGAUUAUUACCUUUGCUGCAGCUAACAUAAAGGAGAUGAGUUCUUGUGCUGACUGAUGCAGGAUUCACAGAGACGCUUCGCGGCUGACUUUGUAAACGUCGAUCUUCAAAUCAAGUAAGACUACCCGCUGAACUUAAGCAUAUCAUAAGC